Molecule: ribosomal RNA, 277 nt
Filed under: uncultured eukaryote
Lineage: Eukaryota
Description: partial 18S ribosomal RNA
Rfam family: Eukaryotic small subunit ribosomal RNA
Source: RNAcentral
UAGUCAUACGCUUGUCUCAAAGAUUAAGCCAUGCAUGUCUAAGUAUAAGUAUUAUACAGCGAAACUGCGAAUGGCUCAUUAUAUCAGUUAUAGUUUAUUUGAUAGUCCCUACUACUUGGAUAACCGUAGUAACUCUAGAGCUAAUACAUGCAUAAAAUCCCGACUCACGAAGGGAUGUAUUUAUUAGAUACAACCAACCCCGUAAGGGUUUAUGGUGAAUCAUAAUAACUGAGCGAACCGCAUGCGCGAGCGGCGGUGGUUCAUUCAAGUUUCUGCC